This 398-nucleotide unclassified non-coding RNA is filed under the name uncultured Mortierella. RNAcentral describes it as "partial contains 5.8S ribosomal RNA, internal transcribed spacer 2, and large subunit ribosomal RNA". The stretch from base 1 to 102 matches the Rfam family "5.8S ribosomal RNA", at positions 53 to 154 of the family's 154-position model. Lineage: Eukaryota; Fungi; Mortierellomycota; Mortierellomycetes; Mortierellales; Mortierellaceae. The record is from RNAcentral.
AUGCGAUACGUAAUGUGAAUUGCAGAAUUCAGUGAAUCAUCGAAUCUUUGAACGCAUAUUGCGCUCUUUGGUAUUCCGAAGAGCAUGCUUGUUUGAGUAUCAGUAAACACCUCAAAGCUUUUGAUUUUUUUUAAAAAAAAAAGUUUUGGACUUGAGCAAUCCCAACACCAAUCUUUUUUAGAUCGGCGGCGGGUUGCUUGAAAUGCAGGUGCAGCUGGACAUUCUCCUGAGCUAAAAGCAUAUUUAUUUAGUCCCGUCAAACGGAUUAUUACUUUUGCUGCAGCUAAUAUAAAGGGAGUUUGACCGUAUUGGCUGACUGAUGCAGGAUUUCACAAGGGUCGGCAACGAUUCUUGUAAAACUCGAUCUCAAAUCAAGUAAGACUACCCGCUGAACUUAA